AGUGAACGCUGGCGGUAGGCCUAACACAUGCAAGUCGAACGGCAGCACAGUAAGAGCUUGCUCUUACGGGUGGCGAGUGGCGGACGGGUGGGGAAUACAUCGGAAUCUACUUUUUCGUGGGGGAUAACGUAGGGAAACUUACGCUAAUACCGCAUACGACCUACGGGUGAAAGCAGGGGAUCUUCGGACCUUGCGCGAUUGAAUGAGCCGAUGUCGGAUUAGCUAGUUGGCGGGGUAAAGGCCCACCAAGGCGACGAUCCGUAGCUAGUCUGAGAGGAUGAUCAGCCACACUGGAACUGAGACACGGUCCAGACUCCUACGGGAGGCAGCAGUGGGGAAUAUUGGACAAUGGGCGCAAGCCUGAUCCAGCCAUACCGCGUGGGUGAAGAAGGCCUUCGGGUUGUAAAGCCCUUUUGUUGGGAAAGAAAAGCAGCAGGUUAAUACCCCGCUGUUCUGACGGUACCCAAAGAAUAAGCACCGGCUAACUUCGUG
Molecule: ribosomal RNA, 492 nt
Filed under: uncultured bacterium
Lineage: Bacteria
Description: partial 16S ribosomal RNA
Rfam family: Bacterial small subunit ribosomal RNA
Source: RNAcentral